RNAcentral lists this ribosomal RNA (490 nucleotides) under uncultured bacterium. Its description in RNAcentral is "partial 16S ribosomal RNA". It matches the Rfam family "Bacterial small subunit ribosomal RNA", at positions 29 to 507 of the family's 1533-position model. The record is from RNAcentral.
AGUGAACGCUGGCGGCAGGCCUAACACAUGCAAGUCGAACGGCAGCACAAGAGAGCUUGCUCUCUGGGUGGCGAGUGGCGGACGGGUGAGGAAUGCAUCGGAAUCUGCCCAUUUGUGGGGGAUAACCUCGGGAAACCGGGACUAAUACCGCAUACGACCUACGGGUGAAAGCAGGGGAUCUUCGGACCUUGCGCAGAUGGAUGAGCCGAUGCCGGAUUAGCUAGUUGGAGGGGUAAAGGCCCACCAAGGCGACGAUCCGUAGCUGGUCGGAGAGGAUGAUCAGCCACACUGGGACUGGGACACGGCCCAGACUCCUACGGGAGGCAGCAGUGGGGAAUAUUGGACAAUGGGCGCAAGCCUGAUCCAGCCAUGCCGCGUGUGUGAAGAAGGCCUUCGGGUUGUAAAGCACUUUUGUUGGGAAAGAAAAGCAGCCGGUUAAUACCCGGUUGUCAUGACGGUACCCAAAGAAUAAGCACCGGCUAACUUCGUG